Molecule: microRNA precursor, 95 nt
Filed under: Ovis aries (sheep)
Lineage: Eukaryota; Metazoa; Chordata; Mammalia; Artiodactyla; Bovidae
Description: miRNA (ENSOARG00000025142.1)
Source: RNAcentral
UGUGUUUUCCUCAACGCUCACAGUUAACACUUCUCACUCUCAAUCCAUUCAUAUUGAAAAUGAUGAGUAGUGACUGAUGAGGUACAGAUCAGCCA